This 123-nucleotide ribosomal RNA is filed under the name Petromyzon marinus (sea lamprey). Lineage: Eukaryota; Metazoa; Chordata; Hyperoartia; Petromyzontiformes; Petromyzontidae. The record is from RNAcentral.
GAAUGCGCCUAAAUCACCCAGAAUGCGCCCCAUUUCGCUUGUGUCUCGGGAGCUAAGCACGGCUUGAGCCUGGUGAGCACUUGGAUGGGAGACUGCCGGGAAACAGCAGGGGUAGUCGCCUCA